CUCUGAAGCACAAGAUAAAAACAAAAAUAGAGAAAAAGACUUCAUCUGAACUUAAAAAUAGAUAUAAAAACGAGCAUAUAUGUAUGAGCUCAUCAUAUCGUGAGACUUUAUUUUGUUUGCAAUUUGCUCUUAUUUUUCCUUUUUGGAAUAUUUAAAUUGACUUGAAAAAUAAUUGCAUAAUUUAAAAAACAUAAGCUUAAUUGCCUUAACCCCCCCUCCCCCCAAAAAAAAAAAAAAAAAACUUAAUUAUGCUUUAAUUAUAAUGUAAUGACUCGUACGACCUCCAUUAAAUUUUAUGGAAUCUCCAACGGUCUCCAUUGUUUACGAAAUUGAAUGCAGUCAAG
Molecule: long non-coding RNA, 344 nt
Filed under: Salvia miltiorrhiza (redroot sage)
Lineage: Eukaryota; Viridiplantae; Streptophyta; Magnoliopsida; Lamiales; Lamiaceae
Description: long non-coding RNA (SMIL_LNC009664)
Source: RNAcentral